UACGUAGGGUGCGAGCGUUAAUCGGAAUUACUGGGCGUAAAGCGUGCGCAGGCGGUUUUGUAAGCCAGAUGUGAAAUCCCCGGGCUUAACCUGGGAAUGGCAUUUGGGACUGCAAGGCUCGAGUGCGGCAGAGGAGACUGGAAUUCCUGGUGUAGCAGUGAAAUGCGUAGAUAUCAGGAGGAACACCGAUGGCGAAGGCAGCCCCCUGGGGUAACACUGACGCUCAUGCACGAAAGCGUGGGGAGCAAACAGG
RNAcentral lists this ribosomal RNA (253 nucleotides) under uncultured bacterium. RNAcentral describes it as "partial 16S ribosomal RNA". It matches the Rfam family "Bacterial small subunit ribosomal RNA", at positions 524 to 776 of the family's 1533-position model. The record is from RNAcentral.